AAGAAAGAAAAGAAAAGGAGAGAAAAGAAUAAGGUAAAUUUUAUAUUUAUUAUCAUAAAAUUUAAUUAUGAAUUUUGUAAACCCUUGUGCAAUUGUUUACUCUCACGGAUUAAGUUUGGCACGUCCUAAACUCUAUUGCUGUUCAUAAAUACUAUUUAAUUUAGUUGUUGAACUUGGAGUGGAGAUUAAUGAAGAGGAUAUGAAUUAUAUUAUUUAUUAUAUAUGCCCUUGAGAGAGGCAUUGACUUUUAAAUUGUGUUCAUGUUGUUGCCUUGGGGUGCUUAUUGAAGCAAUUAUUAUUAUUAUUAUUAU
Molecule: unclassified non-coding RNA, 311 nt
Filed under: Hevea brasiliensis (rubber tree)
Lineage: Eukaryota; Viridiplantae; Streptophyta; Magnoliopsida; Malpighiales; Euphorbiaceae
Source: RNAcentral